Molecule: long non-coding RNA, 2205 nt
Filed under: Carassius auratus (goldfish)
Lineage: Eukaryota; Metazoa; Chordata; Actinopteri; Cypriniformes; Cyprinidae
Description: lncRNA (ENSCARG00000028528.1)
Source: RNAcentral
AGCUUACACACAAUGUAGUGGGCUAAAAGAAAAAAAAUUGCAUCCUUUUUGAGGUCAGUGAACUUCCUAUUGGUUAACACAGUGUUUCACCAGUUGGAAAUUUCAGCUCUGCUUUGUUGUGAAUUUAAGCAGUUUUCAUUCUUAUCGUGCUGCAGUUUCAUUUGCUGGUGUCAGGAUGAUUCUUCCCAACAUAGGAGGUAAGGGUUUAUUUAAUUUACCUGAUGUUUUUAAACGACUGGCUUCUCUGAAUUCAAAUUAACUUUGUUUCAGUUAAUUAUAUUUACAGUAAAUUGCAGCUAACAGUAUAAAUUAGAACAUUUGAAUCAGGGUACCCAGUUCUUCACAGUGAGGGAGAAAAUUAAUUUAUAUAACUAUUAUUGUUUCUAAACAUAUAACACAGAGUAAGCAGGACUGAUCAGAUUCAGACAGGUCAGUCUGGCCAGGGUAGAAGUUUGUCUUGAGUUAAUUUAAUUUAAUUCACAUUAAUACAUGUUCAAAUGUAUUCACAGACAGUAGGCCUUAAAGCUAACUCUGCAAAAUAUAAACUUUUUUUUUUUUUUUGGUAUAUAUCUGAGUAUAAUGUCUUGCAUGUUGCACGUUGCAACAUGGAUAUUUCAUGUACUUUAGUUUGGGAAAAUGCUGUUUUUCACAGUAUAUUGCAAUCACUCUUUCUUCAUAGCGCUAACUGUGGUGUGCUGGAUAAUGUGUGUGAGAAACGCAGAGUCUCAGGCAUAUGCUCCAGCCCCUACAUUCGGAUAUAGAUUCAGAAUAAAUGAAAGUAAUAUUGAGCUAAACACUAUAGUAGAGGUUGCUUGUAGCACCACCUGGAAUGCUCCGUAUCCCAUAACUUUGUCUGUGGGCAGGUUGGAAAGCCCCUCGCAGACCCCAGAAACCUCAGAAGCCUGGGUGACAUCUGACGUCAUCAAUCAUUCAGAUGUCAAAUAUUUCACAAUCCCUGCAACGGCCAAGUUUGAAGGAAAAAUUGUAUGCUGGUACAAAUCCACUAAAACUCACUUAAAGAAUCCAUAUUCUGAAUUAAGCAGCCCUAUAACCUUAGUCGUAUCUGCCCUCCCUCAUCCCAAAGUGACUGUGCAACCCAAACUUUUUCGUAAGGGUGAAAAUUACAAUGUAUAUUGUGACUCAGGCGAUAUCCUAGCCACAAACUUCACACUGAGUCUGUAUUACCGCCUCCUCCCCGUCACCCCUGGCACCAACUGGACCCUCGCUGGUUCAGUGUUUCUCACAAAUGUCACCAGUAUCGUUUUAAGACAGACAAAUGUUGUUGUCCCAAUAGAGUUUGCUUGCAGUAUGGAGAUGUUGUACAAUGGGAAACUCUUACAUUCAUCUCUGUCCAACAGUGAACAAGCCAUCCCAGAAGAGCUUCCGGUUCGGCUCUGGGAGCAGGAACGUGGCGAGAGCUGUCUAGGAUAUCUGGAUAUCACUCUCAAAGGCAAGUGGGAACCUGUUUGUCAGAAGGAAAUCGAUACCACAGCCGAUUCAUCUGCCGCUGCUGCCACGGCUGAAGUGGUGUGCAGGGAACUGGGAUGUGGGCAUGUGCUGAAGUGGGAAAGGCUUUUGGACAACAGACGGCAGUUCACACAGACAGUUGGGGGCAUCAGAUGCACUGGGGAAGAAAAAAAGAUCAAAGAUUGUUCAGUGGAGGAAAUUGACGUUUGCAGGCAGAGAGGCACUCUCUAUAUUGUUUGCUCAGAUACAUUGCCCCGUCCUAAACUGUCUGUGGAUAGGUAUGGUCCUGACCCCAAACUUUAUGUCACGGACAAAGAAAAUAUGAAAAUCUCCUGCUCCAUCCACUCAGCUUAUUUAAAAUCAGACGACUAUGGGUACUUUGAGUUUCGAAAGGAUGGUGCAUAUUUGACUCAGCGUCAAAACAUGCCAGGCUACCCCGCAUCUUUCACAGAGGAUGCCCCAGUGCCUCAAGGAGAGUAUGAAUGUGUAUUCCAUCUUACGUCUUCUAAAAUUAAACCAGUGUCUCAGCCCAGCAAUUCAGUCUUCAUUUACAUAUACAUUCCUCCAGAUCCAGUGCCAAUUGUUACAGGUGUUCUCACAACUGCUGUUGGGUUAGCAGUUCUGGUGUAUAUUUGUGUAUACAGGACUGCGGCAAAAGAGGAACAGCCUAAUGAAUUUCCACAGACCAGUAGUGAAAAUCCAUAUGCCGGCCACUCAUCUCAGCAACUGGAAGCCUAA